Molecule: ribosomal RNA, 700 nt
Filed under: uncultured bacterium
Lineage: Bacteria
Description: bacterial SSU rRNA
Rfam family: Bacterial small subunit ribosomal RNA
Source: RNAcentral
GAUGAACGCUAGCGGCAGGCUUAACACAUGCAAGUCGAGGGGCAGCACGGGUAGCAAUACCUGGUGGCGACCGGCGGAAGGGUGCGUAACGCGUGAGCAACAUACCCUAUACAGGGGAAUAAGCCAGGGAAACUUGGUCUAAUGCCCCAUAGCAAUAGAAUAAGGCAUCUUAUUUUAUUUAAAGCUUCGGUGGUAUAGGAUUGGCUCGCGUGACAUUAGCUGGAUGGUGAGGUAACGGCUCACCAUGGCGAUGAUGUCUAGGGGUUCUGAGAGGAAGGCCCCCCACACUGGGACUGAGACACGGCCCAGACUCCUACGGGAGGCAGCAGUGAGGAAUAUUGGACAAUGGAUGGAAAUCUGAUCCAGCCAUGCCGCGUGCAGGAAGACGGCCCUAUGGGUUGUAAACUGCUUUUCUACGUGAGCAAUAAGGUCUACGAGUAGACUGAUGAGAGUAGCGUAGGAAUAAGCAUCGGCUAACUCCGUGCCAGCAGCCGCGGUAAUACGGAGGAUGCGAGCGUUAUCCGGAUUUAUUGGGUUUAAAGGGUGCGUAGGCGGCUUUUUAAGUCAGCGGUGAAAUUUUGCAGCUUAACUGUAACAGUGCCGUUGAUACUGAGGAGCUAGGAUUUGGUUGCUGUGGGUGGAAUGUGUGGUGUAGCGGUGAAAUGCUUAGAGAUCACACAGAAUAUCGAUUGCGAAGGCA